This 74-nucleotide transfer RNA is filed under the name Candidatus Ancaeobacter aquaticus. Its description in RNAcentral is "tRNA-Ile". It matches the Rfam family "tRNA". Rfam says of the family: Transfer RNA (tRNA) molecules are approximately 80 nucleotides in length. Their secondary structure includes four short double-helical elements and three loops (D, anti-codon, and T loops). Further hydrogen bonds mediate the characteristic L-shaped molecular structure. tRNAs have two regions of fundamental functional importance: the anti-codon, which is responsible for specific mRNA codon recognition, and the 3' end, to which the tRNAs corresponding amino acid is attached (by aminoacyl-tRNA synthetases). tRNAs cope with the degeneracy of the genetic code in two manners: having more than one tRNA (with a specific anti-codon) for a particular amino acid; and 'wobble' base-pairing, i.e. permitting non-standard base-pairing at the 3rd anti-codon position. The record is from RNAcentral. Lineage: Bacteria; Pseudomonadati; Candidatus Auribacterota; Candidatus Ancaeobacteria; Candidatus Ancaeobacterales; Candidatus Ancaeobacteraceae.
GGGCCCAUAGCUCAGUUGGUUAGAGCAACGGUCUCAUAAACCGUGGGUCGAUGGUUCAAGUCCAUCUGGGCCCA